Long non-coding RNA from Ahaetulla prasina, 4114 nucleotides. RefSeq lists it as uncharacterized. Lineage: Eukaryota; Metazoa; Chordata; Lepidosauria; Squamata; Colubridae. The record is from RefSeq and is a predicted model, not a curated record. The transcript is spliced from 3 exons.
GAAAGAAAGAAAGAAAGAAAGAAAGAAAGAAAGAAAGAAAGAAAGAAAGAAAGAAAGAAAGAAAGAAAGAAAGAGAAAGAAAGAAAGAAAAGAAAAGACAUUGCUUCCUCCAAGGCCAAUGGAGCUGCCCUCUUACUUGCUGUCAGUUCUUGUUCCAGCUCAUCUUCCAUCGCAGAUUCAGACUCCAACGUGGGCAUGACAAAGAGCAAUGGGAAGGACUAGAACUAUAAUUGGAAUUUGGUAUUAAACCACUCAAGCUCAGUUCAUUUAUAUCCAGUUUCAGGACCUCACAGACCCAUUGUGAUCAGAAUUAAUUCAAUGAUAUAUAAUAUUGCUAAACACAUUGUCAACGAUUCUAGUACUCUGGUUGGACACACUGACCACUUCAUUCAGAACUCUGAAGAGCCUUCAAGAAUCAGGGUCCCAAAACUGGAUACAGAUGAAACUAUGUUAUCCUUUGAUGUCUCUUCACUCUUCACUCCUGAUGCCCUAACAGUGGUUAGAAAAAGACUAGAAGAUGACAGUACUUGACACCCUUGACUAUAGAAUCAACCACAGCCCGGACCAGAUCUGCUGUCUUCUGGACCUGUGUCUGAAUACUACUUACUUUACCUAUAGAGAUGACUGCUACAGACAGAAACAUGAUUGUGUCAUGGAUUCUCCUGUACCACCCAUUGUUUUCAGCCUGUACAUGGAAGAAAUGGAGAAGAAAGCACCAGCUCCUUCCAGUGGAUAGCACCAAUCCACAGUGCCAAGAGGCAAGCUGUUCCAUUGUUUAAUUGUUCUCAAUGUCAGGAAAUUCCUCUUUAGUUCCAGAAUGAAUCUUACUUAAAUGAACUAAUCCUACUCAUUAGUUCUUGUCCUGCUCUCAGGUGUUAUGGAGAAUAAAUUAACCUUUUUCUGUGACAGUUCUUCAAGUGUUGGAAUAUGACUAUCAUGUCACCCCAAGCUUUCUCUUCAUUAAGCUAAACAUACUUUCUCUAGCUGACCAUCAUAUGACUUAGCCCCUUAUUAUCUUUGUUGCCCUUCUUUGCACUCUUUCUAGGGACUCAGCAUCUUUUUUGUAUCACAGUGAACAGAACUGGGUGCAGUAUGUGGUAUCAAUAGUGCACUAUAGAAUGGUACUGUCACUUCCCGUGAUCUUGAUGCCAUCUUUCUGUUAAUGGAAGCCUAGGACUGCAUUAGGCUUUUUGGCAGCUACAGCAUUCUGCUGGCUCAUAAUUAGGUAUCAUUCACCAGAACACCUAGCUCAGGGUUGUCAAACUUGCAUCGUCACGGUGGCAUCAUAUGAUGUAUCAGAACUCUUUCCCCUUCACUAAAUUAGGUAUGGGCAUGGCCAUCACAUGACGCAUCCAGCCCAUGGGCAAUGAGUUUGACACCCCUAAUCUAGAUCCUAUCACAGGCACUAUUGUUGAGCUUUAAACUUAAUGUUAACCGCUUCAAUCUUGAUUGCAGAAAAUAUGACUUCUGUAACAGAGUUAUUAACACUUGGAACACACUACCUGACUCUGUGGUCUCUUCUCAAAAUCCCAAAAGCUUUAACCAAAAACUGUCUACUAUUGACCUCACCCCAUUCCUAAGAGGACUAUAAGGGGCGUGCAUAAGAGCACAAAAGUGCCUACUGUUCCUGUCCUAUUGUUUCCUUUCAUUAUAUCAAAUUAAUAUAGUUAUUGCAUACUUUUGCUCAUAUAUAUGCUUAUAUGAUAUGUAGUUAUUUUAUGUUGAUGCUUGUGUAUAUUGUUGUGACAAAAUAAAAUAAAAAAACUUUACCUGGAACUGCUUACAUCCUGAAAAAAUACCUUUAAUAUUUUUAAAUAGUAUUAAACAACAACAUCUGUUUCUCCCUGGUCCUUGGGAAGAACUUGAUAGGUAAACAAAAUGCCAAAUUCAUUUUAAACAUCUGGCUGACUAUGUGACUAAACAGAAUAAUUCAUUAAAUGUAUAAUCCACCUGACUCUCAGUAACUCUAGAAAGUCUCCUGAUCAUAGUCUUCAUCUGCUAUCCUAUUAGGAGCUGAAAUUGUAAACAACCUUAUCAUAGAGUAAAAUAUGUUAAGCUGGAUGGUCUACUUAAGUCCCUUCUACUCUUCAUGUGACCCUGCUAGAACUGGUAUUAAGGGACUGAAAAUAAUUCUAAAAUUCAUCUUUUUCAUGCUUUAUCUAGCUUAUAGAUUUUUUGAAUCCAUAAAAUAUAGUAUAUACAGUAUGUGUGUGUAUGUACUGCAUAAAUUCACUUAUGGGAAUUAUGUACAUAAAUGUACCUAAUUACAUUACAUAAAUUCACUUCUGUGCUCUAAUAUUUCAUAAUUUAUAUGCACUUUCCAAUGAAACACAGUUAAUUGGGACUUCAAACAUUAAUUUGAAGAACGACACUGUAUCUUACAUUCUAUCUAAUAUUUGUUGCAAUUCAUUCAGUUUUUCAGGCAACAUGGCAUUGCCUUUGUACAAAUGUUUAUUACACAUAAAUUGACUGUGCACCAAUGUAUAUAGAAAUAUGUCCCACUCAACACACUUAUAAUAUAAUGAAAAACAUUCAUUAUACAUUUUCCAUAUAUGUAUUAAGGAAUCUAGGGGAUAACCUUUACCCUUAUUUGAUUUCUUGCUCAAUGUGAAACAUUUAUGAAACAUUCCAUGCAUUUUCACACAUGCUUUCUGGUAAUCAUGUACCCCUGCAUCUAUCAAUAAAUGGGUCCAUAGAUAUUAAUUUGUGCUAUCCAUAAAAGUGUUCACAUAUUUUUUUUUAGUAUAAAAGUAAAGGUAAAGGUUCCCCUCACACAUACGUGCUAGUCGUUCCUGACUCUAGGGGGUAGUGCUCAUCUUCAUUUCAAAGCUGAAGAGCCAGCGCUGUCCGAAGACGUCUCCGUGGUCAUGUGGCCGGCAUGACUCAACACCAAAGGCGCACAGAACACUGUUACCUUGCCACCAAAAGUGGUCCCUAUUUUUCUACUUGCAUUUUUUACGUGCUUUCGAACUGCUAGGUUGGCAGAAGCUGGGACAAGUAACGGGAGCUCACCCUGUUACACGGCAUUAGGGAUUUGAACCACUGAACUGCCAACCUUUUGAUCGAUAAGCUCAGCGUCUUACCCACUAAGCACCGUGUCCUAUUUUUAAUAUAGACCAGGCUAUUAUUCAUAGUUACACAUAGGGCGUUAGAAUGUAAGCAGUGCCAUAAGAUGUGAACCCCUGGCCUAUCUAUUUUUUAUUUAUUUAUUUAAUUUUGUCAUAACAAUAUACACAAGCAUCACACAAAAAGAUUAUAUAAUAUAUAAACAUAUAUGGGGAGAAACAAGGAAGUGUAAGCAUAUAUAUAUAUAUGGAGAAAGAAACAAUAGGACAGGAAUGGUAGGCACGUUUGUGCUCUUAUGCACGCCCCUUAAAGUCCUCUUAGGAAUGGGGUAAGGUCAACAGUGGAUAGAUUUUGGUUAAAGCUUUUGGGGUUAUGAGAAGAGACCACAGAGUCAGGUAAUGCAUUCCAAGCACAGAUAAUUCUGUUACAGAAGUCAUAUUUUCGGCAAUCCAAAUCUAGUCUGAGUCUAUACUCACUGUAGCUAACCAAUUGUAGAAUUAGCUAAUUAGGCCUUAAAUUGCAGUUUAAAUAUGGUAACUUUAAAAUAACUAAUAGCUGAAUCAAUUGUUGCACAGUGGCAUAAAGAAAGAAUAUAAGGCAUUGUAAUGUUUAUACAUUUAUAAUAAUACAAUAAUGAAAUGCAUUAAUAAAUAAUGCAUUUCAGGAGUUCGGUCCUGACUGAUUCAAGGUUGAUUCAGUCUUUUAUCCCUUUGAGAUCAGUAAAAUGAGGAGCCAGAUUGUUGUGGGCAAUUUGCUGAUGUUGUAAACUGCUUAGAGAAUGCUCCAAAGCACUAUGGAGCAGUAUAUAAGUUUAAGUGCUAUUGCUAUUACUACACAAACACACACACACAAAAUUAUAUACACACAACAGGUGGUAAUUGGAAACAUUUUCUAUGAAAAAUGGAAGCAAGAGAAUAUGUAUUUAUAAAAUCUACUGCUUUGUUAUCUGCUACUGUAUACCUUCUGUGUCUGAACAGACACCCAAUUGAUUUAAAACUUGCAGUUAUCUAGAACUUUAUCCAAUAAUGCUAUCACAGCAAAAAACACU